Molecule: long non-coding RNA, 3488 nt
Organism: Musa acuminata AAA Group (dessert banana)
Lineage: Eukaryota; Viridiplantae; Streptophyta; Magnoliopsida; Zingiberales; Musaceae
Exons: 4
Source: RefSeq, a predicted model, not a curated record
UUUGCGCACCCAUUUGGCCGCCAAAUUCUACGAUUUCGAUCGAAUCCUGUGUCGGUUCGUCCUCUGGAUCUGCGAACCGACGCCGGAAUCUGCUCUCACGAUCGGUACAGUUACUGCGCAUUUUCUUGCCGACGUUGGGUUCUAGGGUUAGGGUUUGCUCGUCUCCUGCUAGCCUGGGCUCCUUGCCGGAUCUCUGAAUUUCAGGUCAUACAUAUUUCUCAAGCAUAACAAGCAGCCUUUGGUUGAUGAUAGGACCAGCCAACAUGUUAUUGAGCAAGUCAGACAACUGGAGUGUGAUAGUCACCUGGCAUCAGUUGCUAAGGUUCUUCCAUCUAGGGAUGGACUGCUGAAAAUCUUGAACAGCAACAGAGAUAUAAAAAUUGUGAGUACUCUUGCUAUGGAUACUAAGUUACUUAGUGUACAUGGUAGGACUUCUUUAUUACCUGGGAUGGGCAACAUCUCUGAAGGGAUUUUUCCAGGGCAAAGCAAACGGCGUUUUUGUGAUGAUGAAGCUUACUUAUUUACAUGCCAGCAUCCAGAGCAAGUGGACCAGAAUGUGCAUUUGAAUCCAUACACAGAAACUGAGUUUACAGCCUCUCUGCCACCAGCUUCAGCUAGUUUCAUUACAUUUGUGACUUCCAUCUUUUGAUCUUGUAAGGAGAGAGUGAAGGCUUAUAAGUGAUUCGAUGACUUAGGCUUAGUUGUUGCCAAUCACGAUUUGAAGAAAACUGAGGCUGCUGUUCAUGUGGAUGUUUCUGACAAGGUACUGGUAGCAGCCAGCUUACAUAUGAUUGUAGUGAUGAAGAAACUGUUUUGGAAUCACCUGUUGGGGUUGAUUUUGUUUCUAGUUAUUUGAAAAUUGCCGUCAAGCAGAUAAGUUUUUAUCACCUUCUUUUGAUUACUUUCCUCGAAAACCUUUUGUUAUUGGAGUGAAUCAUCGAGCUGAUGUUCUGGAGUCAUGUUCACAUAGUUGCAAGAAAAUUGAGGAAUCUAGUCAUUAUGCUUCUCCAGUGGUAAAUUCAAGCGGUUGUCAUUUAGUGAACAAAGAUGACAGAGAACAGUCGAUAGGGUCUUGUGUCAUUCCAAUGCCUGAUUCUUGUUCGUUGGAAUCAGAAAAUACAGUUGUACUUACACAAAACUGACUGUAGCUGCUUGGAUGAGGGUUCAGUUAGAUGCAUAAGACAGCAUAUGAAGGUUGCAUGAAAAAAGCUUGAGAAAUUUUGGGAACAGGAUAAAAUUGAUAUGGGGUUUAUGUGACAUGGGAGAGGAUGUAGCCCAUAAGUGGACCACAGAGGAGCAUUUGUUCCUAGAAGUUGUCCUAUCAAAUCCUGCAUCAUUGGGUAAGAACUUAUGGGUUGUAUUGCCUUUAUUUUUCCUGCUCGAAGUAAAAACGAGUUAGUCAGUUACUGCUUCAAUGUGUUCAUGCUACAGAAGAGAGCUGAACAGAACUGGUUAGAUCCACUGAAUGCUGAUAGUGAUGAUGACAAAUGGCAAGGAAGUGAUGAUAAUGAGUUUGCAGCCGAAGAGGAAAUUGAAUAAGAUUCUGUUGUAGAGACACUUCCAGAUGAAGAUGCUGUUACUUUUAACAAAGUUGAGCAUGAGGAUGAUGAGAUGAAUGAAGAUGAUGAGGAUGGCGAGGAGCAUGACGACUAUGCCGCCAUUGCUGGGGAGAAUGAUGCAGGUUUCUCUGGUGGUACUAAAGGCUACAAUAUUGAUAGGCCAAACUUUCUGCCUCCCAUGGAACACAGACGAGCAUUUGCAGACUUCUAUGGUGGAGCUAGAUGUUCAAGAUGAAUCAGGCACAUCCUAUGAGCGCCUGCAUGGUGCAGGUUCCUGUGGUCUUGCUAACAUUGUGGUUGCCAGCACGGUCUGACGAAGGGACUCUAUGAGAUCUUGCGUAGGGAGCACAAAAAUGAUGGUUCAAGUGAUUCGUUGAAUCGGGUGCUCUUCGAUGACCAAUGGCGCAUGAGAUCAUGGGAAAUCAGUUUUACAUGUGGAGCAGGAAAAGAUGAUGGAUAUCCUGUCGCGUAUCACCAAUAAUCAGGACUUUGGCAUGGAGGUUCAUCAGAAUGACAAAAUCGACAGUCAUGAUUUUGACAUGCCCUUGUAGUUGCAUCUAGCAAGGUUUUCCCUUGUCGCAUUCAUUGCACCCUCAACUAGAGGUUCAUCAGAAUGACAAAAUCGACAGUCAUGAUUUUGACAUGCCCUUGUAGUUGCAUCUAGCAAGGUUUUCCCUUGUCGCAUUCAUUGCACCCUCAACUAGAUAUCUUGAAUUAUCUGAAGCUGUGCUCUGUUAAAUCAUGCUGGUGGGUAUUAGUCUUUCCAAUUUUCCCUUUGUGCAUUAUCGAAGAUCAGCAGCUUUGCUUCUUGUAAAGUUAGAAUUUGAAAGUGAGGUUGCUCAUGGUUCCAUGGGGUACUAAAAGCGGCUCACAUGGACUGCUUCCACUACAAGUUGUACAAUUCUUGUAGCUUGGCCCUCUCCUUCAGAACUGUUAUCGAGAGAAACAUGCAUUGUAGAUCCAACAAAAUAAAGCAUUUGAUAUGAUAUGACAUCUAUCUUUUGUCGAGUUGCAGGAAGCUGGUGUAAUAGCCUUUUCUACACCUAGCCCCAGGUUUUCCAAACAAUAAGGUUGCUGGCCAUGUUGAUCCUGUGGUCUACACCAACAGUGAGCCCACGCCCAGCUACCUCCACUGUCAUUCUAUUAAGACCAUUCAAUGGUGUUCAAUACUAGUGGUGGUGUGUCAUUGUAAUGAGGCUUAGCUGAAACCAGCUUUUCUACCGCUUCACAGGCCUCUUGCCUUGGAUUUUAAAAGCCUACAGGGUGGGUCUCCUUCCCUCCACCUUCUAACUCUGAGUUGUUCCCCCCUGAGCUCUUAAGAAACGAGCCAUGGAGAGUCAUCCUUCUUUCAGCAUUGCCGCCGCUGCCACCCCAACGCCUCGGCCUGUCCUCAUCGCGGUUCUCGUCCUGGCGACGUUCCAGAUUGCAAUCGCCAUGGUGCACGAAGCUGAAUUGGCACGAUUCUGCAGCCAUUACCGGCACCAGCAUGAAGAGAGCUCCACCUCCUCGCCACACCACAUGCCUUCCUGGUGCUCCCAGAUCUUGCAAAGUCUGCUUCCGCUGCCACCGCCCGAUGAAGUUGAUCCAAGGUAUGGGGUGGAGAAGCGGCUCGUGCCGACGGGGCCCAACCCUCUGCACAACUGAACUGAUUAGUGUUUCAUCAUCAUCAGAAGUAUGUGGUCUCCCAGCCUGUGUGUUCUGGUCAUCUCAAUCUCUCCUAUAUAUUGUAUUGUUUGGCUACAACUUACUCCUCUUCUCUACCUUCUUCUCAUUUCCCUGAUGCUUUUUUUGAGGGGAACUUGAGGCUGUAUUGAAUGAGGCUUGGUGUGAGCUCUCUUGUUCAGAGAAGAGCUGUUUAAUGAUAUGUUUAAUGGAGUUUAGAGACUUACAGUGGAGGAUAUGUUGGAAUCCUAAUGUUCUACUUUGCUA